AUGCACGCUAGCUACAGGCUUAACACCUGCAAGUCGCGGGGAAACGACAUCGAAAGCUUGCUUUUGAUGGGCGUCGACCGGCGCACGGGUGAGUAACGCGUAUCCAACCUGCCCAUCACUUGGGAAUAACCUUGCGAAAGUAAGACUAAUACCCAAUGAUAUCCCACGAAGGCAUCGGAAUGGGAUUAAAGAUUUAUCGGUGAUGGAUGGGGAUGCGUCUGAUUAGCUUGUUGGCGGGGUAACGGCCCACCAAGGCAACGAUCAGUAGGGGUUCUGAGAGGAAGGUCCCCCACAUUGGAACUGAGACACGGUCCAAACUCCUACGGGAGGCAGCAGUGAGGAAUAUUGGUCAAUGGGCGAGAGCCUGAACCAGCCAAGUAGCGUGCAGGAAGACGGCCCUAUGGGUUGUAAACUGCUUUUAUAAGGGAAUAAAGUGGGUCACGUGUGACUUUUUGCAUGUACCUUAUGAAUAAGGACCGGCUAAUUCCGUG
Molecule: ribosomal RNA, 491 nt
Filed under: uncultured bacterium
Lineage: Bacteria
Description: partial 16S ribosomal RNA
Rfam family: Bacterial small subunit ribosomal RNA
Source: RNAcentral